CUUAUUUCCCUGCAGGUGCUGAGAGUACUGAGGCCAGCCAGGUAGGAAUCAUCCUUCUAAGUGUGUGUGGCAAAGGCAAGCUUUGAGAAAUUAGGUCCACAUGGCAGCUGAGCACACAUCACAGAGAUUAUCUGGCUGGGGGCAAUGAAAUCUGCCUUCACAUUCACAAAAGAGGUCAAGCAAACUCCAGGGAAGAGGAAAGAGAGAGAAGGAAAAGCUUAAAUAUUAGUGCGACAUUUUCCAGAUUUGAUGUAAAAGCCUGGAGAUACAUUGUCUGUGAAGGUAGGCAGGUUUAUUAUAUUGUCUGCUAAAAUACAUUGAUGAUGAGUGCAUACAGUUUAAAUUGGUUUUCUCUCUAACUACAGUAGUGGCUAGAAAAAAAUCAGCUUUCAUUUUUAUAGGAUACAUAAUGGAUAUGUGGAAAGUCUUGAUAUUUAUUACUCUAUAUGAGGAUUCUUUGUAAAUUUAUUGUUUUCAUGAUGAGAGAUCUGUAUCUGUUUUUCUUCCUUGUCUAGAAAAUGAUUCAAUGGGUUCUUCCUCCAUGUGUUCCAUUCUUGUGGCUAAACUGCAUCUGUUUUUUCCAAGAUUUUAUGUUGUUCCAUUUGUAAUAGUGAAAUUUUAAAAAGAGGGUCCUGUGCACCAUAGGUCUUCUAAGAGUUUUUUUCCUUCUUCUUCUGGCAUAAAUGUAAAGCAUUAGGAGGAAAUUUCUCUAAGUGCCUCAACAUGGCUGCUAAAUCAAGAUGCUGAAAGUAUAUUAUUGCAUGCAUGAAUGGCUUUUACCUUAUAGAUUUGCUAAUUAGAAGUACUGGAGUACCUGAUGUGGAUGCACAUUUCUCGCUUGUUUUCAAAAUUCAAGGUUUCUAUCCAGUUGGUUGAAAAAAUAAUGUGUUACAGAAAAAAAGAGGCUCAAUUUGAAAAUUUGCCCCUUCAUUUCCAAGUUGGAUUUCUUUUUGUGCAUGCUGUAUCUUUUCUUCUGACAAUGCUAUUGCUACUUAUCUAUGCAGAAUAUCAAAAAUACAGUCUAAUGAUCCUAUUGAAAGUUAAUGCAUACAAUAAUACAUUGAACAUGAAAUAUCAUAAUAGCAUUAAGAAGUGAAGAGAGCUACCAGGAUGAUGCCUCAUUAUCAAUGUAGUUCAUUAACAAUAUGCUGCUUCACGUCUGAUUGUCAGUGUCUUACUUUGGGAUGAGCAGUGGCAGGUUUUGGUCCCUAAUACCUCUUCCACUCAUAGUUCAUGUACAUCUUCUCCUACCUCCACAUUCAGAAGGGAAAAAGAAGAUUGUUGUUCUCCUGUCUGAGCAUGGGAUGUCUGCUGUAGGGGAGAAUGAGGAGCUCCUUGGGUUCUUGGAUGGUGCUGCUUGGAUCCCCAUUGCCUGAAAGAAGCACCCCAACACCUUGCGCACAUAUGGACACCAACCUUCCAAGGCUUAAAUUGAAAUAUUUACAGCUGAGAUCUGAAGCUCACUCUGGGUGUCCUGGCUGCAGGACAGUGGGACCAUGAAAAGCCAAGGCUCUCUGGCGCUAUUGAACCUUUAGCACAGUGAGGUAAUUCACAGUGAUCUGAGAUCUCAGCUGCUGGCACCAGGGCUUUAGGCUGGGCUGGCCCUGGCCCUGUGGAGGGAAGAAGCUUUCUGGUCAGUGGCACAGGGAUGAUGGGAACUGUUGCAUCUCCCCAUUCCUGUGCCCAUUGCCACAUCUUGCUGGAGACCAAAGAGCAUGAGAGGGGAAGGAUGCUUUUGGCACCUGAGGCUCAGUCUCCAGGAUUUGCCCAUGCACUUCUUAUUUCCACGAGCACAGGUAGCUCAGGGUGCUGGGGAGACCCUGAAGGGCAGGGGAGAAGCCAGCCAUGUGGAAGGAAAGAUGGAAGACCAAAUUCACAUUAAGGAGCAAGGUAAGCAAGGAAGUAAGAUAAAUUCCAACUCAUCUUUUGUUCUGUAGGGCAUCCUUGUCUCUUCCUCCUAAGUGCAAAAACAAGUUGUCCCUUCCUCACAUACCUCUUUGCUCAGCAGGCCACCUCUCCAUGCUGCUCACAGCAACUGGGCCCUAUUUUUCAUUUAGAAAAUGCAGUUUUUCUUUUCAAGGGAGAGGAGACAGUGCUGAGAAAUACAUCCCUGGAGCCUCACCAGUGACUGUAAGUAUCAGUUUCAGCUGUCUAAGCACACCAACUGUUCCCCAGACUGUUCCUUCUGCCUGAUACAAAACAAAGCCUAAUGAGGAAAAUUGAAAACGUUUUCUAGGUGGUUUACAUUAGCUUGAAUAGUCUGGCAACAUCUUAAUGUGAUGCCUAACCCUUUUCAUCAGUCAUUUCCCAGGAGUCAACCGGAAGAGCUGUUAAUGUGCUGUGGCAUCUAUGUUAAUAGGAUUUGCCAUAACACUAGGGAUUUAGUUCAAAUUGAAGUUGGUUUCUUGGAUUUUUUUUCCUCUGGAGCCUAUGUAAUGGCCCUAGUUGUGCAGGAAUAGGUUUGUUGCUUUUGUUGGUUUGGGUUUUUUUUUGGGUGGAGUGGGCAGUCAGCAGCUAAGACAUUGCCCAGAGCUCUGGGACUGAAGGACCUGGCACCUCCUUCCCUAGCUCCAGCUGCAGAUCCAGCAAACUCACUGCACUAACAAUCCUGAUUUUCUUAGCAGAGUUUCCUACCACAGGACAAAUAAAGCAGUUUGGAAACACCUUCUGGCUGACUUCUAAGACACAGACCUGCAGCUUUUUUCCUCUUGGGCACUGUGCCUCAAAUAAUGUAAUGCAAAAGCAAAAUAACAGUCCUGCUUCAUAUCUCUGUUAUUCCAGGUUUUCAUUGCUCUGAUAGCAUAAACUUCAACAUAAUUACACUGGCCCAUAUAAGAUCAGGAAGCAGCAUGUUUCUUUCUAAAGCUUAUCACAACAAUGCUACAGGAUUUCUGUCCAUCUCCCUGGCAUUAUUUUGUUGCUUAAACAAGGCAAUUUGGCUUCUUCUACUGUGGUGGUGAAACAAAUCUCAUUCUUUUGUAAUGGAUAUGUACUUGCUAAUCUCUCCCAUUACAUUCCCAGUACUGCCUUUUCCAGUUAUAAUUCACUAUAGGCUUGGAGUGGACAAAGAAACAUGCUGUGUCAUUAGAACUUGUUCCUGAUAUCUAGUCCAAGCACUCACUGUAUGGCCUUAUGGUCUUAUGAAUGAAAAUUUGUCCUCUCUUCCCCACUCACCAGUGCUGACAGUAAAAACCUUUUUCACCAUCAAGAGAAAAUAAUCCCACUAUUUCUGAAGUUAGGUAUUUUCCACUGCUGUUGUGUUAAUAGUGAGGCUGUCAUAGCCUUGCUAGGGACUCUACCAAAUAUACAGCAGUUUACUUGCUGUUCACUUAAAACAGAAAUACAGAAAAAAGUGAUUGAAGUCAGAUCCAGAGCCAUACUUCAUAACUGUAUCAUACUCAUUCAACCAAAUGGCAGGUCACAUCACCUUUGUGUCUGGAGAUGUUUCAGAUUUGACAUCCAUGACUAAACCAAGAGGUUUCAGAAGUUGGUCUUCUUGUUAGCACAUGCUUCCUUUUGCCCUAGUGGGAUCUGGUUUCCCAUCUGCACUCUUGUAUCAGUUAUGAGCACUGCUGUUUUAAAACAUAUCUCACUUUUUCUUCCCUCUGUUGCUCUUUCCCUGAUACAUAUGGAAUUAUUCUUUUUUUUUUUCUUUUUUUUUUUUUUUUUUUGGUCUGGGAUAAGGAUUAUUAUCUUGUACAAGAUGAACAAUCACAAUAAAGUCAUUCAGCUGGAGUUGAUGGCAAUAUCCUCUGGAUGUGCAGGGGAAAAAAAAGCACACUCGAAAAAGGUACCCAGUUUUCACUGUAACACUUCUUUCAGUUUGGUUCCUGUAAUACUUUCUUUGUCUACAUUUUGUGGAGGGAAUGGGUUCCAUGCCUGCAGUGUCCUUGGCUUUCCUCUUGUCAUAUCACUUGCUCUGUGAUUUCAAAUAAAUGUUGGAAGAGAAGAAAAAAAAAAAAGAUUUCCCAUCAUUUCCAUAUUUAAGAUGAAAGAAUAAAUUUAUAGGUUGUAAAUUACUUUAUUCUUUAGGAACUUUCCUUCUGUUUAUGUGCAAUAAUGUUUGUGAAUUCUGCUACUGAGAGAUUGUAUUGUGAGUAAUCAUAUAUACUUCCAUUCCUAUUUAAAAGAUAGUUUGUAGACCUAGGGAUUUUCAUUGGCAUAAAGCACAAUUUAAUGAAUUAUUUAAUGUGUUUAACCAUUGUGAUGUCAAAAGCAAUUGUUUUCAUAUAUUUAUUUGUUGGUGAUUUUCUGUAAAAUGAUGCUCAUUAAGAAUCUGUUAAAAAUGAAGUUUUGUUGAAUAUUGUUGGGUCCAUGAAUUACUUAUGAGAACAAAUAAACAUUGACUGUGUUUUUGAAACA
This 4362-nucleotide long non-coding RNA is filed under the name Taeniopygia guttata (zebra finch). RNAcentral's name for it is "lncRNA (ENSTGUG00000019675.1)". The record is from RNAcentral. Lineage: Eukaryota; Metazoa; Chordata; Aves; Passeriformes; Estrildidae.